AACGAACGCUGGCGGCAUGCCUAACACAUGCAAGUCGAACGAGAACUUCGGGUCUUGUGGCGCACGGGUGCGUACCGCGUGGGAACCUGCACUUAGGUUCGGAAUAACUCACCGAAAGGGGUGCUAAUACAGGAUAAUGUCAUCGGACCAAAGAUUUAUCGCCUUUGGAUGGGCCCGCGUUGGAUUAGCUAGUUGGUAGGGUAAAAGCCUACCAUGGCGACGAUACAUAGCUGGUGUGUGAGGAUGAUCAGCCACACUGGGACUGAGACACGGCCCAGACUCCUACGGGAGGCAGCAGUGGGGAAGAUUGGACAGUGGGCGAAAGCCUGAUCCAGCAAUGCCGCGUGAGUGAUGAAGGCCGGAGGGUUGUAAAGCUCGUUUACCCGGGAUGAUAAUGACAGUACCGGGAGAAUAAGCCCCGGCUAACUCCGUG
This 433-nucleotide ribosomal RNA is filed under the name uncultured bacterium. RNAcentral describes it as "partial 16S ribosomal RNA". It matches the Rfam family "Bacterial small subunit ribosomal RNA", at positions 29 to 507 of the family's 1533-position model. The record is from RNAcentral.